AUUUGUUCAUGGGUCAGAUUGUUUGUUUGGUCUUAUGGUUUAGACGUUUGUCCUGACUGUUUUGGUAUGUUUAUAUAGUACUUUUGGAAUGCGAUAUGAUUCUUUUUGGGUUUUUUAGUUCACGCAUUCAUUCUAAGAAUCUUGAUAUCCGGCUGUGUUGUUGUAGAUUUGUAAGUUUUUUGCUUGGGAGCCAUCUAUUCAGCCAUGUUGGAGUAGGCUAUAUGAUUUUUUCAGUUCUGACCACGUAUGCUUCUUCCUUGGUCUAUUCACCAAGUCAUGGACACCGACUCAAAAAAUGAACAAGGUUACCCCUUCAGCUGCAGGUGCAGGGUUGACGGUGACACUGCAGAUGUAGCUUCUCUGACCGCUACCGAAGACACCGCUGAACAGCUUAACCAGACAAAGACAAAGUGCUGUUAUGUAGGCAUGGUUUAAAAACUAGAGCCUUUGGCUGGUCAAGUACCCUUGCCAAAGCGUUCGUGUAAUCUCUUCAAGUUGUAUGAAGCAAAUUCUAUGUAUGUAACACCCAGGAAGAAUAUUAUAGUAAUUAUAUAGAAGCAGAGAAUCAACCUUGCUAGAGCGUUUGUCAAAUAUCUACUCGAGUAGCCUUGCCAAACUUUAUCUGAUGUGUUCUUCACAUGUUGUUUCA
Triticum dicoccoides is the source of this 649-nucleotide long non-coding RNA. RefSeq lists it as uncharacterized. Lineage: Eukaryota; Viridiplantae; Streptophyta; Magnoliopsida; Poales; Poaceae. The transcript has 3 exons. The record is from RefSeq and is a predicted model, not a curated record.